This is a long non-coding RNA of Nicotiana attenuata, 298 nucleotides long. RefSeq lists it as uncharacterized. The transcript is spliced from 3 exons. Lineage: Eukaryota; Viridiplantae; Streptophyta; Magnoliopsida; Solanales; Solanaceae. The record is from RefSeq and is a predicted model, not a curated record.
UUUGGUCAACAGUAAGGUGAGAUAGAAAAGAGGAACAAGGGAUUUGGGAAAGAGAAAUAAAAUUAAAAAAAAAAAAACCUUCAGUCAUCGUAAGCAUCAAGCAGAAGGGUUUCUGGUGCUCCAUCGUGCUCCAUCCAAUACCACGUUCUACUUAGAAGAAUUAAAUAUCUUGACCCUCAACAGUAGAAUUCCAGAUUGCACACGAAUUGAGCAAUUGGAUCAAUAAGAAGUCGAGCUUUGGUUAGUUGGCUUUGAGAGAGACAGCAGUUGACGCGGGCGAGGAUUUCGUUAAUUAGAG